RNA transcript from Solanum pennellii, 1825 nucleotides. It is a transcript of the gene named RNA-binding protein 42-like, with no coding region annotated. The transcript has 6 exons. The record is from RefSeq and is a predicted model, not a curated record. Lineage: Eukaryota; Viridiplantae; Streptophyta; Magnoliopsida; Solanales; Solanaceae.
UCUGGAUUUUAUGGAAAGAAUAUUUCUAGAACACUCCACAUUCUCCUCAAUGGUUCUUUUUUUCAGUAAUUUUUAAUGAAUGAAAUGAACUCGUUUACUAUCGCUGCAAAAUCAAUCCAAACAAGCCCUUAAAUUCACCGAUCGGAAAAUCUCCUUUCUCAUUUCCGUCUACCGGUAAUUACUAUGUCGACGGUGACUUCGUCGCAGUACAAUUACUUGAACGGCACAUACUUUCCGACGCCGUUUCAUCUCCAACAACAACCGUCGCAACCGUACUCUGCUCCUCCCGUUGUUCCUCCUGUCUAUUCUGCUCCGGCAGCUGUUCCCGACGUUUACUCUUUACCUCAGUAUUUACAGACACAGCAAUUAUUUCAAAGAGUUGCACAGACAAUCACGCCCGAAGCAAUUGAGAAUGUGAAAGCUGCACUUGCGAGAAGUGAGCUUGAGCAAAAAGCUGAGGUGAAAAAGAAAGCUGUGCCUCGAAAGGCAGCAGGACAGACUUGGGAAGAUCCUACUCUUGCAGAGUGGCCGGAGAAUGAUUUUCGGCUAUUCUGUGGUAACCUUGGGAAUGAGGUGAAUGAUGAUGUUUUAUCAAAAGCAUUUUCAAGAUUUCCUUCCUUCAACAUGGCCAGGGUAAGUUCUUCUAGAAUCGUUUCAUCUUUUCCAAUAGUGAUACUUUUAAUGGUUAUAUAUGGACUUGUGUCAGUUACAUGUCUUUUGAUCCGAGGGUCUAUCAGAAACUACCUCUCUGCCACACAAAGAUAGGGGCUGGAGGUCUUCAUGUCUGUAAUUUUUCUUCUUCCUUUUAUCGUUUUUGUCCAUAUCUCAAGACAUUCAUGAAUAUGGGGGAGAACUUUGAUCUAUUAAAAAAGGGGGGGAAAGAAAUUUCAGAAUGGUGUCGUGAUGUGGGAUGAUGCCAUUGUUGGGCUCUUGGAUGGAACCAAACUUGUACUCCUCACCUCAGCAUGUGUAUGUAGCGCUUUUCUCUUUUUCUGUUUGUUGCGUAGACUGCAUAUGUUGGCAGUUUCCAUGCACAUGUUAGAUCAUAACUGAAGAAUGUUGCUUAGUACAUUCAUCGUUCUUGUAAUGUCCUUAAGGGUUUCUAACAAUGUAAGAAUGACAGGUUGUGAGAGACAAGCGGACUGGUAAGACCAAGGGAUAUGGAUUUGUUAGUUUUUCCAACCCUUCAGACCUUGUCGUGGCACUUAAAGAAAUGAAUGCUUGAUAAGAGGGACGAUUAAAUAUCUUUGAAGAUCACCAGACCGGAAUGGUAUGGGAUGAUAACCAAAUGGAUCUGAAAUUUUUCUUGUUUUAUUCUGUUUGUUGAUGCCUUAUAUGGGUCUCUUUCUAUCCCUUGUUUGAUGUCAUAAGGUCAAAAGAUUUGGCCGGACGGAAGAGUGUUAUCUGCAAACCCAUCCCUCCCCCAAUGCGAGAAGACUUGCUGGAUGACACAGCAUCACAACAACUAGGAGUGUGCUGUUGAAGUCGAAUUAGAUAAACGAAAACAAGGAAGGGGAACUUUCAGUUAAGAGUAUUUGAGCUUUGAGUAGUGUGGUUUUCUUAGGCUUCUUUGAAAAAUGGAUGUGUUUGUUGUUGUCAUAGUUAUUUAACCGGCAGUAUACUUUCCACUGAACUCGAAUCCCUUAGUGACAAAGGUAAAAUCUUUCUGAUUUCAGGGAAGUAUGUUGGGAACCGACCAGUUCAACUUCGGAAGAGUAAGUGGAAAAAUAGGAUUGACUAUGAAGCUUUGGCAAGACAGAAGAAUGCGUCUCAAAAGAAAGCAAAGUCACCAAAGAAGAGCGUAUUGCACAAGUGAUCGCCAAAC